RNAcentral lists this long non-coding RNA (352 nucleotides) under Anas platyrhynchos platyrhynchos (common mallard). RNAcentral describes it as "lncRNA (ENSAPLG00000025320.1)". The record is from RNAcentral. Lineage: Eukaryota; Metazoa; Chordata; Aves; Anseriformes; Anatidae.
CUCAGCGCGGCGAAGUGCCACUUUCAGCAAAGCUGCACCCGGAAUGCAUUUGGCCGUUUGCAACAGCAGCUCUAAAUCUGAUGGUGACAGCAAACGAUUGCCACGAAGCCAGUUACAACCUUUUUUUCCACUACUGAGCAGAGAAGGAGGUGGAGGGGAGACACUGCUCUGCCCCACUGCCUCAUCCCACUGCUUUGUGGUCUGGUCCCACCAGCUCCUGAGCAACAAGGGAAAGAUGGGUAAAGGUUUUCACUGACUUUCCCUGACAGAACCUCUUUAUUUAGGUAAGUGUUUCUUUGACUCUACCUUUGUUUCGUGGUAUCUCAGCUGCUGUUGCAGGAUGUGUACAUCC